CAUAUUACCGACGGCCUUCAGUCCUUUGGUAAGUUUCAUUUACCAAUGGCUUUUCCGACGACUCUCAUUAAGUUAUUUGUUGACGAUCAUGAACUGGUCACAUAACAUACCAACGAUCUUUAGCCUUCCGUAAUGUUCGCAAUAGUUAAAUUGUCGAAUUGAUAUUCGUUCCCAUUUACUCAGAACUUUCCCAAUUUCCCUCCCUUUAACCCUCGUCUCCAGGUCCCCUUCCCUUUCCUUCCCCAUUGCACCCG
This 254-nucleotide long non-coding RNA is filed under the name Vigna radiata. RNAcentral describes it as "long non-coding RNA (VRAD_LNC014448)". The record is from RNAcentral. Lineage: Eukaryota; Viridiplantae; Streptophyta; Magnoliopsida; Fabales; Fabaceae.